RNAcentral lists this ribosomal RNA (253 nucleotides) under uncultured bacterium. RNAcentral's name for it is "partial 16S ribosomal RNA". It matches the Rfam family "Bacterial small subunit ribosomal RNA", at positions 524 to 776 of the family's 1533-position model. The record is from RNAcentral.
UACAGAGGUGGCAAGCGUUGUUCGGAAUUACUGGGCGUAAAGCGCACGUAGGCGGUUAUUCAAGUCAGAGGUGAAAGCCCGGGGCUCAACUCCGGAACUGCCUUUGAAACUAGAUAGCUUGAAUCCAGGAGAGGUGAGUGGAAUUCCGAGUGUAGAGGUGAAAUUCGUAGAUAUUCGGAAGAACACCAGUGGCGAAGGCGGCUCACUGGACCGGCAUUGACGCUGAGGUGCGAAAGCGUGGGGAGCAAACAGG